RNAcentral lists this ribosomal RNA (520 nucleotides) under uncultured Glomus. RNAcentral describes it as "SSU rRNA". It matches the Rfam family "Eukaryotic small subunit ribosomal RNA", at positions 569 to 1089 of the family's 1831-position model. Lineage: Eukaryota; Fungi; Glomeromycota; Glomeromycetes; Glomerales; Glomeraceae. The record is from RNAcentral.
AGCAGCCGCGGUAAUUCCAGCUCCAAUAGCGUAUAUUAAAGUUGUUGCAGUUAAAAAAGCUCGUAGUUGAAUUUCGGGAUCAAUUUAUUGGUCGUGCUAUUGUACGUACUGGUAUUAUUGAUUCCUACCUUCUGACGAACCAUGAUGUCAUUAAUUUGGUGUCAUGGGGAAUCAGGACUGUUACUUUGAAAAAAUUAGAGUGUUUAAAGCAGGCUCACGCUUGAAUACAUUAGCAUGGAAUAACGAAAUAGGACGUUUGAUUCUAUUUUGUUGGUUUCUAGGAUCGACGUAAUGAUUAAUAGGGAUAGUUGGGGGCAUUAGUAUUCAAUUGUCAGAGGUGAAAUUCUUGGAUUUAUUGAAGACUUAACUACUGCGAAAGCAUUUGCCAAGGAUGUUUUCAUUAAUCAAGAACGAAAGUUAGGGGAUCGAAGACGAUCAGAUACCGUCGUAGUCUUAACCAUAAACUAUGCCGACUAGGGAAUCGGAUGAUGUUAAUUUUUAAUGACUCAUUCGGCGUCCG